RNAcentral lists this ribosomal RNA (200 nucleotides) under uncultured bacterium. RNAcentral's name for it is "partial 16S ribosomal RNA". It matches the Rfam family "Bacterial small subunit ribosomal RNA", at positions 8 to 223 of the family's 1533-position model. The record is from RNAcentral.
AGAGUUUGAUCCUGGCUCAGAACGAACGCUGGCGGCAUGCUUAACACAUGCAAGUCGAACGCUCCGCAAGGAGAGUGGCGCACGGGUGAGUAACACGUGGGAACCUGCCUCUUGGUUCGGAAUAGCUGCGGGAAACUGCAAUUAAUACCGGAUACGUCGGAUCACUGUGGUGGUGGUUCGGGAAAGAUUUAUCGCCGAGA